GAUGAACGCUGGCGGCGUGCCUAAUACAUGCAAGUCGAGCGAACAGACGAGGAGCUUGCUCCUCUGACGUUAGCGGCGGACGGGUGAGUAACAUGUGGAUAACCUACCUAUAAGACUGGGAUAACUUCGGGAAACCGGAGCUAAUACCGGAUAAUAUAUUGAACCGCAUGGUUCAAUAGUGAAAGACGGUUUUGCUGUCACUUAUAGAUGGAUCCGCGCCGCAUUAGCUAGUUGGUAAGGUAACGGCUUACCAAGGCAACGAUGCGUAGCCGACCUGAGAGGGUGAUCGGCCACACUGGAACUGAGACACGGUCCAGACUCCUACGGGGGGCAGCAGUAGGGAAUCUUCCGCAAUGGGCGAAAGCCUGACGGAGCAACGCCGCGUGAGUGAUGAAGGUCUUCGGAUCGUAAAACUCUGUUAUUAGGGAAGAACAAAUGUGUAAGUAACUAUGCACGUCUUGACGGUACCUAAUCAGAAAGCCACGGCUAACUACGUG
RNAcentral lists this ribosomal RNA (497 nucleotides) under uncultured bacterium. RNAcentral's name for it is "partial 16S ribosomal RNA". It matches the Rfam family "Bacterial small subunit ribosomal RNA", at positions 28 to 507 of the family's 1533-position model. The record is from RNAcentral.